CCCCUUUUCAGUUUUAUAAGCAUGAUGAUCGGGUUUUCACGUGCCUGUGUGAUAUGUGCCUCCCUUCAACCUUGUUGAAGGCACAUGACCUUUCUGACA
Suncus etruscus (white-toothed pygmy shrew) is the source of this 99-nucleotide small nucleolar RNA. RefSeq annotates it as small nucleolar RNA U13. Lineage: Eukaryota; Metazoa; Chordata; Mammalia; Eulipotyphla; Soricidae. The transcript has a single exon. The record is from RefSeq and is a predicted model, not a curated record.